This 586-nucleotide ribosomal RNA is filed under the name Osoriinae sp. MNCN-AI647. RNAcentral describes it as "partial 28S ribosomal RNA". It matches the Rfam family "Eukaryotic large subunit ribosomal RNA", at positions 683 to 1226 of the family's 3401-position model. The record is from RNAcentral. Lineage: Eukaryota; Metazoa; Arthropoda; Insecta; Coleoptera; Staphylinidae.
UGCGCGAGUCAUUGGGAAUUAAAAAACCUAAAGGCGCAAUGAAAGCGAAGGCCGCCUUGCGCGUGCCAAAGGAGGAUGGGCCGUAGCCUUUGGGCUCGACCCCGCACUCCAGGGGCGUCUCGUUCUCCUUAUGCGAGUUGAGGCGCACCCAGAGCGUACACGCUGGGACCCGAAAGGUGGUGAACUAUGCCUGGUCAGGACGAAGUCAGGGGAAACCCUGAUGGAGGUCCGUAGCGAUUCUGACGUGCAAAUCGAUCGUCGGAACUGGGUAUAGGGGCGAAAGACUAAUCGAAUCAUCUAGUAGCUGGUUCCCUCCGAAGUUUCCCUCAGGAUAGCUGGCGUACGUAUGAGCGAGUCUCAUCCGGUAAAGCGAAUGAUUAGAGGCAUUGGGGUCGAAACGGCCUCAACCUAUUCUCAAACUUUAAAUGGGUGAGAUCUCCGGCUUGCUUGAAAGCGUGAAGCCGUGAGAUCGGAUCAGUGUGCCAAGUGGGCCACUUUUGGUAAGCAGAACUGGCGCUGUGGGAUGAACCAAACGCAGAGUUAAAGCGCCUAAAUCGACGCUAAUGGGAUACCAUGAAAGGCGUUG